RNAcentral lists this transfer-messenger RNA (353 nucleotides) under Elusimicrobiales bacterium. It matches the Rfam family "transfer-messenger RNA". From Rfam's summary of the family: Bacterial tmRNA, also known as 10Sa RNA or SsrA, is named for its dual tRNA and mRNA-like properties. Its role is to liberate the mRNA from a stalled ribosome. The record is from RNAcentral. Lineage: Bacteria; Pseudomonadati; Elusimicrobiota; Elusimicrobia; Elusimicrobiales.
GGGGGCGAACAGGUUCGACGUUAGCUUGUGUCGCCGUCUCAGCAGGCCAUGGUUGACCAGGCCAUGUAAAACAGGGUCAAAAAAACAAAAGCCAACUCCAACGAGCUGGCCUGGGCCCACGCCUAAGUGAGCCUCGCCGGAGGUCGCACCCCCUGCAGCUUCCUCCUGGCGUCAAAAGCAGGGUGCCGUUCCAACUGGCGCGCUUCGUCUGGCGGGAACGAAAGAAAACACGGAGCUGGUCCGGACCAUGUCGUCCUGUGCUAAGGUCCGGACGAGACAAUAACAGGGCUAAGCCUGUAGCGGUUACGGCGUGCGGUUGACGGACCCGGGUGCGAUUCCCGGCGCCUCCAUAA